UGCAGCCCCUAACAUUGAGCUGAUGUUGACUUGUGUAACCCGUCAUUAGUCAAUUAGCCAGACUUUUAUUUUGCGGGCCUACUUCCUGUGUUGCCCCAAACUGUUCAACUUAUUUAAAGCCCCGCCUCCAGCGCAGUUUGAACAUCAUCACCUGUUCCACUGUGAUUGUGGCUGACUGUUGGCGUCUUGCUGAUAAUUUCAUCCUGGAAAGUCACCCAAAUCUUUGAAACAACUGAUUUGAACUAUUGACUGUCAGCGGUUGUUACCUGGGCCGUCACUGGAAUUCACAGCUGAUUGUAGUCUGGCACUCUCUGCUCAAAGCAGGUCUUCAGACAUCAGAUUAUCCUGCCGGUUGCCGAGGACGAACGCCAGGAAGGAGAGGAUGAGCGCGUCCAAGAUGCCCAUG
Poecilia latipinna (sailfin molly) is the source of this 406-nucleotide long non-coding RNA. RefSeq lists it as uncharacterized. Lineage: Eukaryota; Metazoa; Chordata; Actinopteri; Cyprinodontiformes; Poeciliidae. The record is from RefSeq and is a predicted model, not a curated record. The transcript has 3 exons.